Molecule: ribosomal RNA, 459 nt
Filed under: uncultured bacterium
Lineage: Bacteria
Description: SSU rRNA
Rfam family: Bacterial small subunit ribosomal RNA
Source: RNAcentral
AGAAUCAACGCUGGCGGCGUGCCUAACACAUGCAAGUCGAACGAGAAAGGGUAGCAAUACCUGAGUAAAGUGGCGCACGGGUGAGUAACACGUGACUAACCUACCCUCGAGUGGGGAAUAACCUCGGGAAACCGGGGCUAAUACCGCAUAACAUCUACGGAUCAAAUGCGUAAGCAGCUUGAGGAGGGGGUCGCGGCUGAUUAGCUAGUUGGCGGGGUAAUGGCCCACCAAGGCAGUGAUCAGUAGCCGGCCUGAGAGGGCGCACGGCCACACUGGAACUGAAACACGGUCCAGACUCCUACGGGAGGCAGCAGUGGGGAAUUUUGCGCAAUGGGGGAAACCCUGACGCAGCAACGCCGCGUGGAGGAUUAAGCCCCUUGGGGUGUAAACUCCUUUCGAUCGGGACGAUUAUGACGGUACCGGAAGAAGAGCACCGGCUAACUCUGCGCCAGCAGCCGC